Molecule: ribosomal RNA, 253 nt
Filed under: uncultured bacterium
Lineage: Bacteria
Description: partial 16S ribosomal RNA
Rfam family: Bacterial small subunit ribosomal RNA
Source: RNAcentral
UACGGGGGGGGUAAGCGUUGUUCGGAAUUACUGGGCGUAAAGGGCUCGUAGGCGGCCAACUAAGUCAGACGUGAAAUCCCUCAGCUUAACUGGGGAACUGCGUCUGAUACUGGAUGGCUUGGAUCCGGAAGAGGGAUGCGGAAUUCCAGGUGUAGCGGUGAAAUGCGUAGAUAUCAGGAGGAACACCGGUGGCGAAGGCGGCUUUCUGGGCCUUGCCUGACGCUGAGGAGCGAAAGCUGGGGGAGCGAACAGG